Molecule: long non-coding RNA, 2518 nt
Organism: Ochlerotatus camptorhynchus
Lineage: Eukaryota; Metazoa; Arthropoda; Insecta; Diptera; Culicidae
Exons: 2
Source: RefSeq, a predicted model, not a curated record
ACAGUGAAAAAUACUUCCACGGAUACUUUCAAUACUGUCAUUGACAAGAACAUAUACGUUGAGACAACACCUAUAAUGACAAUGGCAACUGACAAACGUAAAGACAUCGACAAAGACAAUGGCACUGACUGACACUGAUUCUCAAACAUUUCAAAAAGAUCACGAUUAAGAAGGUAUUGCAAAACAUUGUCCUCUGUACGUUUACUUUCCAACUUUUACUACAACUAUUACUACUGUUACUCCGGCUAUCCCCUACUUGAAACACUAUUCCUCCCUAGCCGGCAUCUUAAGCAGGAUUCACUUGAUCCCUGUGAUUAUUAUUCUGUGGUGCCAAAUCUUUACAUCUACCCUUGUGCUGUAUGGAUAGUGAUUUUUCACUGGAGACCUGGCCCUAUGACCCCCUUCUGUGCUUGAAAAUGAAAAUGAAAAAUGAAAAUAACAGUGGUGGUUAGACAGUACCACCCACCGCCUAAAUGGAAGGAUUACUGUACAUCCAACAUUUAUGGUCCCAAUUAUGUAAGUCGAGUCAAGUGUUACUUCUGUUCGCUGGUCUAAUUUAUACUAUUUUAUUGGUAUCGUACCCUUUUAAAUUACUUUAAUGUAGUUAAACUAGUUAGACAAUCAAUAUUUAAUGUUUGGCAUUACCCUGUGAUACCCUUAAGCGAACCAGUGAUAUUCAAUGGAGGACAUUCAACGACGGUUUAACCUUGUGAUAUUUCACCCACUGGGAGAAUGAAGGACAAUGCAAAUUCAGUUUUAUACAUUAUUUUAUUUCUUCAGACAUUCUUAAUCUAAUUAACAUUUUAUUUUCGUUUUUUUUUAUUUUUAAAGACAUUUUUCAAAAAAAAUUGAAAUAGAAUUUGAAAGAAACUACAGUGGUAUAUCUCAUCUUUAUGACUGUUAAAAUUUUCGCAAAAAUAAUAUUCCGUAGUGAUAAUAUCACGGUUCGAUUAAACUCUUUCGUUAUCAAUGUAUUUUUGACGAACGUUUCAUGAUGCAAAAAACUUCAAUUGCUAAGACAUUUCCAAUGUUUCAUAUCGUAUCAGUUUAGAAGACAUAUCAGCUCACAAUCGUAAUUGUAAUGCAUAUUGUAAUAUUGUGAAAUUGCAGACGUUUGGUAUCUUGUCAAGAAAACUAAGAACACUUGGCACUUAAACACUUAUAGACUAUUCUCAAAUUUGUAAUGCAUAUUGUAAUAUUGUGAAAUUACAGAAACGGUGGUAUCUUUUAAGGCAAAAAUAAUAUUCCGUAGUGAUAAUAUCACGAUCCAAAAAACUUCAUCAAAAGUUUUUAUUCUCAAAAAAAAUUGAAAUAGAAUUUGAAAGAAAUUGUAGUGGUUGGUUGUUUUUUUUUUCGCAUACGAAUAGGAAAUAGAAAAUAUUGAGAAACUUCAGUUGAUGGUAUCCGUUUGAUGCUUUCGCAAAAAUAAUAGAAAUAGAACUUAAAAAGAAUUUACAGUGAAGGUUCUUGAUAGAUGAUUUUCGCACUCAUGCGACCUUUGGUCAUAUGAUGACGACUUGCUAGAAGAACUUCUUUUAGACUUUUCGCAAAAAUAAUAGAAAUAGAACUUAAAAAGAACUUACAGUGUUUGUAUCUUUGAUUUUUUUUUGUUCGCACUCAUGCGACCUUUGGUCAUAUGAUGACGACUUCUGGAGGGUUGAAGCAACACGAGGGCCCUACGGUCUUCUGACCAGAUCUAGUUUCGUUAGUUUUCGUAAAAAUAAUAUUCCGUAGUGAUAAUAUCACGCAAUGAAAAGACUUCGUAGACUUUGCAAAAAUAAUAUUCCGUAGUGAUAAUAUCACGCAAUGAAAAGACUUCGUAGAUUUCUUAAAAAUAAUAUUCCGUAGUGAUAAUAUCACGCAAUGAAAAGACUUCGUAGAAAUAAUAUUCCGUAGUUCGGACGUGAAUUAUUUGCAACUUCGAAAACCUAAUAGGGAAGGAGAGUUCACUUCAAUAUAUGUUAUCCAGUAGGGUGACACAUUGUGGUGUAAAGACUUUUUAGACUUCGUAAAAAUAAUAUUCCGUAGUGAUAAUAUCACGCAAUGAAAAGACUUCGUUAUAAGACUUUUAGAGAGACGUAAAAAUAAUAUUCCGUAGUGAUAAUAUCACGGCACAAAAACACUUAAUGUCGGUUGUUAUACUAUAUGAAUUAGGAUUUAUAACUCCAAGACUUUUUAAUUUGAUUCGCAAAAAUAAUAUUCCGUAGUGAUAAUAUCACGCAAUGAAAAGACUUCGUAAAAAUAAUAUUCCGUAGUGAUAAUAUCACGCAAUGAAAAGCCUUUGUAGACUUCGUAAAAAUAAUAUUCCGUAGUGAUAAUAUCACGCAAUGAAAAGACUUUGUAGACUUCGUAAAAAUAAUAUUCCGUAGUGAUAAUAUCACGCAAUGAAAAGACUUUGUAGACUUCGUAAAAAUAAUAUUCCGUAGUGAUAAUAUCACGCAAUGAAAAGACUUCAUUAUUUGACUUUUAGAAAGACGUAAAAAUAAUAUUCCGUAGUGAUAAUAUCACGGCAUAAAAA